RNAcentral lists this ribosomal RNA (305 nucleotides) under uncultured bacterium. RNAcentral describes it as "bacterial SSU rRNA". It matches the Rfam family "Bacterial small subunit ribosomal RNA", at positions 333 to 654 of the family's 1533-position model. The record is from RNAcentral.
UUAUACCUACGGGGGGCAGCAGUGGGGAAUAUUGCACAAUGGGGGAAACCCUGAUGCAGCGACGCCGCGUGGGCGAGGAAGUACCUCGGUAUGUAAAGCCCUAUCAGCAGGGAAGAAACAGGACAGUACCUGACUAAGAAGCCCCGGCUAACUACGUGCCAGCAGCCGCGGUAAUACGUAGGGGGCAAGCGUUAUCCGGAUUUACUGGGUGUAAAGGGAGCGUAGACGGCAUGGCAAGUCUGAUGUGAAAACCCGGGGCUCAACCCCGGGACUGCAUUGGAAACUGUCAGGCUAGAGUGUCGGAG